RNAcentral lists this long non-coding RNA (956 nucleotides) under Daphnia pulex (common water flea). Its description in RNAcentral is "uncharacterized LOC124209334, transcript variant X2". Lineage: Eukaryota; Metazoa; Arthropoda; Branchiopoda; Diplostraca; Daphniidae. The record is from RNAcentral.
GACUUUGCUAUUUCAGAAGUGGCAGCACUGGCUAUCUGUCAAAUCAGGAUCUGGACCAAAGUGUUGACUCGAAUACAUACACAGAGUGUUGGCAAGCUAUUUUAUCAUGGAGUUAGUGACACAUUGUAAACAUUCCAAUGUGCUGCCUAGAAAAGAGCACGCAACAUCCCAAUCUAAUUGCUUUAUGCUGGUAUUCCUCCAAUACAUAAUAAUUAUUCUGACUGAAAACAUGGUAGCCAAAGGAAUACUCCUCGAUUGUCCCCCAUCCUCUUUCUUGGAUCUUAACUUCUAGGAUUGUUUGUUCAUAUUAGUUUACUCGCUGGCUGCCACAUUUUGCUUCCCAUGUGAGAUCUAUUGAAUUUCACGUGUGUUGAUGGUGUGGAAUCCUGGUAUUGCUAACUAUUAGCUCCAGUCUAAAUUUGGUCUUGUUGCCGAUUUUUUUUGGCACAAUACUUUCCCUCCAGAAGCCGGUCUUUAGUGAACUAUCGGAGGAGGUUGAUCCAAAAUAUUCAUUGAUUCACUGGCCUAUUAGCACGAAAUGUGGUAAAACCCUUUUGAGAAGAGCCUUGCUGUGCCAAACUUUAAAGUUCUGUUGAUCGUUCGACAUUCCAAGAACUUUUCCAGGAAUUCGAAGGAAGUUCUAGUGGCAGCUUAUGUUCACUGGCAAAUGCUGCGUGACACAUUAUGACACACAAAACAAGCCUAGACGCCCAUUUAUUCCACAUCAAACAUCUCUUUAUCCUUCGUGAGCAGAUAACUCCUUUUCAAGUCGACUUAAAAGUAGCGGUCGACGAAAUAGCGGGCAGCAGAGUGCCGAUUUGACUUUUGAGAACGUUAUAUUGGAGCACUUCCACCACUUUGAAAAAUUUGUGACAUCUAAUGUGAAGCUGCCCCUUCAACACUACAACCAAAUUGAAGAUCUCGAUUCGGCUUUAGCCAACAACGAUCUAUCGAUU